Molecule: long non-coding RNA, 830 nt
Organism: Mesoplodon densirostris (Blainville's beaked whale)
Lineage: Eukaryota; Metazoa; Chordata; Mammalia; Artiodactyla; Ziphiidae
Exons: 4
Source: RefSeq, a predicted model, not a curated record
GCUGUGAAUCUUUUUUCUUCCUGGACCAAACUAAAGUGAACUUCGUUCCUGUCUGAUAUUUAUCCAGCUUCAAAAGUGGAAGCACCUGAAGCUACUUUGUUCAAGUUUCCUGAGUUUCUGGGAAGGCCUGGUUUCCCCAAAGGAACGAUUUCUGGUAGAAUUCUGGAAGUCUGACCCAAGAAAAAUAAUCCAGUAUAGCCAAUGAAUUGAGGACAAGAAGGUUUCCAAUCAGCAGUUUAAGCCAGGAGAGUAAAUCCAGUUCCUAUUACUCCAUCCUGUCCAGAAGCACAGGUCUUAAGUGAAAUUUAAUACCAAAGAAACAGUUCCAAAUUUUACAACGGAUCUAUCACUGGUUGUUAGCAUAUCUUCCCACACCCAAGACACCAAGAUACCUUCUACUCACUGUUAAAGCUUUAUGAUGAGCAAAACUUCCACCACUGUGCUUCCUUAGCAUGAGACACAGUCUACUGGAGAGAGGCAGAACUGUGAACAGAUGACUGCGUAAAGAGGCAAAGUCAAGUCUUAUUUAUUCAGAGGAAGAAGUCCCCGUGAUCAAACAACAAGUAAAAUCAUUUCAGUGUGCAAGACAUGGAUUUGUGAUUGAAAAUGCACAAGCAUAUUUAUUAUCCAUCAUAGAUGGUCACCUAUUAUAAUCAGUGAGAUUUCUUAAUGGCACAGCAUCUAGAGGAGGACGUCAUGCAUGAACCUGUCAUAUUCAGAAAGUAAGGAAGUGGCACAGUGGGAACAAUUCAGGAAAGUAAAUAAACAUGACAGUAGAUUUAAAAUCUACUUUGCCUGUUCUUACUAUUAUUAAUCUAUUUGGGCAAGUA